AUCAAUAGAAGAUAAAAAAAUUUACAAGACAAAAAUUUAUGAUCACAAAGGAAGAUUGCACUUCGCUAAUACAGGUACAUAAAAAAAUAACACAUCAUCGAAGAAGAUUAAAAAAAAAAUUUACAAGACAAAACUUCACCAACACUAUAUUAUCGAAUAGAAUUUUCCAGCAGAGGAUCAAAAUUUGAAGGAAAAUUCAGAUGUGAAAAUGGUCAAAAACAAUAACACAGAUAGGCCAUAUGCGGAUGGCAAUAGUAGCUCUCCCCCAAUAUGGCAUUUAGGAUGCGUUUGGCAUCCCGCAUUACAUAGCAUUACCAUGAUACCAUCCUGUAUAGCAUUAAAUUAAUACAACCCUAUGUUUGGCUAAAAACUGACUUCGUAUUAUACCGCAUAACAUUACUGUUGUUAUACAGUUAAAGCUGCAUUAACUAAACCCGUGGGGGGUAUCGGGUUUACGCGUGAUUGCUUAUAAAGAAAGGGAAAAAAAAAAGAGUAAUAGUUUUUCUUCUUCAAAAUACGAUUAAGACACAAAACACAUCUUCUCUUUGCUUCCAUUCUCUUCUCAAAACCCAAUCUAUCGCCGACACCGGCUCAGCCAUAACAUUUAUCACCGACACUAGCACGGCAACAGCCACUUUGAGUACUCGAUGCUGUCAAUGCCGUCAAGUUCUCCCGCGCGGCACCCCUACUCCACCAUCUCUAUGCCGCGGGUCCGCAGCCACUGCACGAUAUCACAACAAAUUCAUAUUAGCAUUUUUGCCUUUAUCCAUAACUUGAGUGUUUUAAAUUAUAAAAGCCAUUUUUUAAAAAAGAUAAAAAAAGAAAAAUCAGACCCCUGUGACAGUGUUACUUAUUCUUUUUUGCUUAUUUUCUUUUUUCUUUUCUUCUUCGGAAGAAAAGGAUUUAAAGGGAGGAAAAAGGAUUUAUCGACAAAAUAAAUAAAUAAAUAAAUGAAGGAUGCAAAGAACCGAAAAAAAAAAUUGUGGAAUGAUAACAAGGGAGAAAAAAGAAACAGAGGAAGAAAAGAACAGAGAAGAAAUUAAAGAGGGUUGCAGGUUGAAGAUUGAAGAUUUUGUCCUGUAAAAGAGGGAGAUAAAGAGAUAAAGAUGACGUGUCAAUGCAUAGAC
Molecule: long non-coding RNA, 1127 nt
Filed under: Citrus maxima (pomelo)
Lineage: Eukaryota; Viridiplantae; Streptophyta; Magnoliopsida; Sapindales; Rutaceae
Description: long non-coding RNA (CMAX_LNC003676)
Source: RNAcentral